UACGUAGGGUGCAAGCGUUGUCCGGAAUUAUUGGGCGUAAAGAGCGUGUAGGCGGCCUCGUAAGUCCGCUGUGAAAGCCCGGAGCUUAACUCCGGAGGGUCGGUGGAUACUGCCAGUCUUGAAGGUGCUAGGGGGAGAUGGAAUUACCGGUGUAGCGGUGAAAUGCGUAGAUAUCGGUAGGAACACCAGUGGCGAAGGCGGUCUCCUGGGGCAUUCUUGACGCUGAGGCGCGAAAGCUGGGGGAGCAAACGGG
Molecule: ribosomal RNA, 253 nt
Filed under: uncultured bacterium
Lineage: Bacteria
Description: partial 16S ribosomal RNA
Rfam family: Bacterial small subunit ribosomal RNA
Source: RNAcentral